RNAcentral lists this ribosomal RNA (328 nucleotides) under uncultured eukaryote. Its description in RNAcentral is "partial 18S ribosomal RNA". It matches the Rfam family "Eukaryotic small subunit ribosomal RNA", at positions 1470 to 1796 of the family's 1831-position model. The record is from RNAcentral.
CCCUUAGAUGUCCUGGGCCGCACGCGCGCUACAAUGACACAUGCAACAAGUUCUAUCCUGGCUCGGAAGAGUUUCGGGUAAUCUUUAUAAUGUGUGUCGUGCUGGGGAUCGAUCUUUGUAAUUAUGGAUCUUGAACGAGGAAUUCCUAGUAAGCAUAAGUCAUCAGCUUGUGCUGAUUACGUCCCUGCCCUUUGUACACACCGCCCGUCGCACCUACCGAUUGAAUGGUUCGGUGAAGAUCUCGGACUUCGAUAUUUAUUCUUUAUUGAGUUUAUAUUGUGGGAAGUUAUCUAAACCUCAUCAUUUAGAGGAAGGUGAAGUCGUAACA